Molecule: ribosomal RNA, 879 nt
Filed under: uncultured bacterium
Lineage: Bacteria
Description: bacterial SSU rRNA
Rfam family: Bacterial small subunit ribosomal RNA
Source: RNAcentral
AGAGUUUGAUCCUGGCUCAGGAUGAACGCUGGCGGCGUGCCUAACACAUGCAAGUCGAGCGAUUUACUUCGGUAAAGAGCGGCGGACGGGUGAGUAACGCGUGGGUAACCUGCCCUGUACACAUGGAUAACAUACCGAAAGGUAUGCUAAUACGAGAUAAUAUACUUUUAUCGCAUGGUAGAAGUAUCAAAGCUCUGGCGGUACAGGAUGGACCCGCGUCUGAUUAGCUAGUUGGUAAGGUAACGGCUUACCAAGGCGACGAUCAGUAGCCGACCUGAGAGGGUGAUCGGCCACAUUGGAACUGAGACACGGUCCAAACUCCUACGGGAGGCAGCAGUGGGGAAUAUUGCACAAUGGGCGAAAGCCUGAUGCAGCAACGCCGCGUGAGCGAUGAAGGCCUUCGGGUCGUAAAGCUCUGUCCUCAAGGAAGGUAAUGACGGUACUUGAGGAGGAAGCCCCGGCUAACUACGUGCCAGCAGCCGCGGUAAUACGUAGGGGGCUAGCGUUAUCCGGAAUUACUGGGCGUAAAGGGUGCGUAGGUGGUUUCUUAAGUCAGAGGUGAAGGGCUACGGCUCAACCGUAGUAAGCCUUUGAAACUGGGAAACUUGAGUGCAGGAGAGGAGAGUGGAAUUCCUAGUGUAGCGGUGAAAUGCGUAGAUAUUAGGAGGAACACCAGUUGCGAAGGCGGCUCUCUGGACUGUAACUGACACUGAGGCACGAAAGCGUGGGGAGCAAACAGGAUUAGAUACCCUGGUAGUCCACGCCGUAAACGAUGAGUACUAGCUGUCGGAGGUUACCCCCUUCGGUGGCGCAGCUAACGCAUUAAGUACUCCGCCUGGGAAGUACGCUCGCAAGAGUGAAACUCAAAGGAAUUGACGG